RNAcentral lists this ribosomal RNA (440 nucleotides) under uncultured bacterium. RNAcentral's name for it is "bacterial SSU rRNA". It matches the Rfam family "Bacterial small subunit ribosomal RNA", at positions 30 to 471 of the family's 1533-position model. The record is from RNAcentral.
AUUGAACGCUGGCGGCAUGCCUUACACAUGCAAGUCGAACGGCAGCACGGGAGCAAUCCUGGUGGCGAGUGGCGAACGGGUGAGUAAUGUAUCGGAACGUGCCUUGUCGUGGGGGAUAACGUAGCGAAAGCUACGCUAAUACCGCAUACCAUCUAAGGAUGAAAGCGGGGGAUCGCAAGACCUCGCGCGACAAGAGUGGCCGAUAUCAGAUUAGGUUGUUGGUGGGGUAAAGGCCUACCAAGCCGACGAUCUGUAGCUGGUCUGAGAGGACGACCAGCCACACUGGGACUGAGACACGGCCCAGACUCCUACGGGAGGCAGCAGUGGGGAAUUUUGGACAAUGGGCGAAAGCCUGAUCCAGCAAUGCCGCGUGCAGGAUGAAGGCCUUCGGUUGCAAACUGCUUUGUACAGAACGAAACAAGUCUCUCCUAAUACGGGGG